UUACAUAUUCAGUUAUGGCGUGAUCCAGCGAAAUCCGUUAUACAGUAUUCGUCUAUUUUUUUUCUAACCACACUAGAACACGUCCGAAUGUUCGAUCCAACCUAUAUAACACUUCUCGAGUUUUAGUGCUUCAGAGUUAAACCUAUGAACAACGAUUUCGUUCUCCUUCGAUGUGUUGCGAAAAGGUCUUUUUUUUACAAAUUAAAAUAACUGCAGAACAAAACGGUUUGAGAGAAACUCGACUGCUAUUCAUAUAUUAUACAUAGAUAUAUAAAAUAAUCUGCCUUUUCAGUUGAAUUUUGAUUGAAUUUAUUCGGGUUAGAAAAAAAACAAUAAUAUAUCUACAUACAUUAAAUUCAAAUCUAGUAAAGUCGCUUUUAAUUUGGUAAAUGUUAGUCGUGUGUCGUGAGUUAUUAGGACAUUAAAAUGCCGGUUGUGUAAAUAACCAGUAAGACAGUAAAUAAUAAAUAUCUUUAUAAUAUUUUUCUCUUUUAUAAAACAUAUCUAUAAAGGAUCCUAGAGCACUAUUUUCCCUGCGAAAAAAAGAUCAAUACGUUUAUUAAGUUGAUCGUGUAAUUAUUAUAAUAUUGUUCAUUUAAGUCACUUCUUUUAUUAAAUCUUAAUAAUUUACAAUUUUACAUUUACUAGAAAUGUACACGAGGGAUAAAAAUAUGGCAAUAUGUGUCCUAUUAGCUAUUCUUAAGACUAGAGUUUCGUACUCGAAUGAAGAAACAGGUGGCAUCUACGUCAUCAUUUAAACGGCCCCCCACUUGGUCAGAAUUUCAUGAGGGCAAAAUAUUGUAAGAAUAAUUACCUACUCUAACAUUUGUUUGAAGUGUAAAUCAUUAUUUUUUACGUCGUGCUCUCGUCAAAAACUGACAUUUUAGUACAUAUGUUUAAAAUAUUGGAUAAUACACUGUGUCCAGCGAGAGAACACGCCGAUUCCGCAAAUCCACACAUGGCCCUCAGAUUCUGCCAGUCUUCCAUUAAGUCAUCGAGACCGGUUCCAAUAUGACAGGGUGUCGCGUGGAUGGGGAUGCGCAAAAGAACGGAUUUUCGUCGGGCCGCAGAGUGCAGUUUUCUCGCCGAACAGAUUGUGUCACAGACACGUCCAGUUACCUACACCCAGUGACCAAAAUAUGUCCUUAUAGGUGCUACAUUAUAGUGGCAACAUGAGCAACGAACAUGACAGUGUUAGAGGGGUUUAAAUUGGCCAUUGCAAAGGAUGUAUUAAAUUUUAAUUCAGUGAUAAACCAUUAUUGCGCAAGAACGAAUGAACAAUGAUUCUGAGUUCUGGGCAAUCAUCAUUCUGUGAGUACACAACCAAUCUAUUUCUAAAGAUAUUUCAUAAAUUAUUUUUAAUUACCUAUACUGGCAACUGCUGUCUAUUAGUAAUAAUCAGUAAUCAGUAUGUUAAACUAUUUUUUUCAAAAUACAUCGCUCAUCUUUAUGAUGGUAAUUUUAUAAUUUUAUUAUGAUAUCAUACAUUAUUGUUAUUAACUUUUAGGUUGAUUACCGCAUAGGCGAUGAGACGUGAGAUUUAUGUUGAAUGUGAAAAAUGCUGAUGAAAAAUAGCGGUCACUAUCAGUAGAUACUACAAAUAACCGCAUUUACAAAAAAUGUUAAAGUAUUAAGUAAUGUAGCCAUGUAGGUAAGUUAAUUAUGUAUUUCCGCAAUUUUCAGUUAGAUAAGCAUAUCCCAUUAUGGGUAGGUAGUCGUAGUACGUAUUUGUGAAGAUUUAUUAUUAGGUAACCUAUAGAUUAAAAAUAAUUUGAUUUCUAACGUUAAAAAAUACUUAUAUGGUUAGAUGGAACGAUGUUGGCAAAAUGUCACGAAACAUGUCUUCGAGCAUGACGAGUAUAUUUACACUUUUUAUAAUAUUUAAUAUAUGUUAAACAUUAUAUUUAUAUAUUAUCAU
This is a long non-coding RNA of Myzus persicae (green peach aphid), 1918 nucleotides long. RefSeq lists it as uncharacterized. NCBI's taxonomy places the organism in Eukaryota, Metazoa, Arthropoda, Insecta, Hemiptera, Aphididae. The record is from RefSeq and is a predicted model, not a curated record. The transcript has 3 exons.